GGGUUAAGUCCCGCAACGAGCGCAACCCUUGUCGUUAAUUGCCAUCAUUUAGUUGGGCACUUUAACGAGACUGCCGGUGACAAACCGGAGGGAGGUGGGGAUGACGUCAAGUCCUCAUGGCCCUUAUGGGUAGGGCUUCACACGUCAUACAAUGGUCGGUACAGAGGGUUGCCAAGCCGCGAGGUGGAGCCAAUCCCAGAAAGCCGAUCGUAGUCCGGAUUGGAGGCUGCAACUCGCCUCCAUGAAGUCGGAAUCGCUAGUAAUCGCGGAUCAGCAUGUCGCGGUGAAUACGUUCCCGGGUCUUGUACACACCGCCCGUCACACCAUGGGAGCGGGUUCCGCCAGAAGUAGGUAGCCUAACCGCAAGGAGGGCGCUUACCACGGCGGGGUUCGUGACUGGGGUGAAGUCGUAACAAGGUAGCCGUAGGGGAACCUGCGGCUGGAUCACCUCCUUU
RNAcentral lists this ribosomal RNA (455 nucleotides) under uncultured bacterium. RNAcentral's name for it is "bacterial SSU rRNA". It matches the Rfam family "Bacterial small subunit ribosomal RNA", at positions 1077 to 1533 of the family's 1533-position model. The record is from RNAcentral.